Molecule: unclassified non-coding RNA, 50 nt
Filed under: Flavobacterium frigidimaris
Lineage: Bacteria; Pseudomonadati; Bacteroidota; Flavobacteriia; Flavobacteriales; Flavobacteriaceae
Description: Flavo-1 RNA
Source: RNAcentral
CCUUAGCCCUGAUGGGAGGGAAAAGAUUUGGAAGGACAGCAGGAAAUAGC